AUUGAGCGCUGGCGGCAUGCCUUACACAUGCAAGUCGGACGGCAGCAUGGAGAGCUUGCUCUCUGAUGGCGAGCGGCGAACGGGUGAGUAAUGCAUCGGAACGUACCGUGUAAUGGGGGAUAACGUAGCGAAAGUUACGCUAAUACCGCAUACGACCUGAGGGUGAAAGCAGGGGAUCGCAAGACCUCGCGUUAUACGAGCGGCCGAUGUCAGAUUAGCUAGUUGGUGAGGUAAAGGCUCACCAAGGCGACGAUCUGUAGCGGGUCUGAGAGGAUGAUCCGCCACACUGGGACUGAGAAACGGCCCAGACUCCUACGGGAGGCAGCAGUGGGGAAUUUUGGACAAUGGGGGCAACCCUGAUCCAGCCAUGCCGCGUGAGUGAAGAAGGCCUUCGGGUUGUAAAGCUCUUUCGGCCGGGAAGAAAUCGCACAGGCUAAUACUCUGUGUGGAUGACGGUACCGGCAUAAGAAGCACCGGCUAACUACGUGCCAGCCGCCGCCGUAA
RNAcentral lists this ribosomal RNA (504 nucleotides) under uncultured bacterium. RNAcentral describes it as "partial 16S ribosomal RNA". It matches the Rfam family "Bacterial small subunit ribosomal RNA", at positions 30 to 523 of the family's 1533-position model. The record is from RNAcentral.